AUCAAUUCAGCAUAAACGAGGCGGUGUCCAAGCUACACGGAGCUGGUUAUGAUUGAUCAAGUACCUGUGUCCUAGACAACUAAUUCGUCGUAUCAUCAUGGCAAUGUUCUGGAUUUAUGUUCACUGUGUUCUGGCUGCACUUAAUCUUCUGAGGACACGUGUAGUGGUGGGAUAUGCUACAAUAGAUUUGUUUUCCAUGAAUGAACCGUACACAAGUUUUGUUGAAAAAGAACUUCGGCUCAUGUUCCUGAUAUCAAACUUCACUACAACUUGGUCGGAUGCUGCAGGCAAAUGUAAAGAAAUAAAUGCACACAUCUUUAAAAUACGAAAUAAAGAGGAAAAAUAUA
Long non-coding RNA from Pecten maximus, 347 nucleotides. RefSeq lists it as uncharacterized. The record is from RefSeq and is a predicted model, not a curated record. The transcript has 3 exons. Lineage: Eukaryota; Metazoa; Mollusca; Bivalvia; Pectinida; Pectinidae.